AGACUUUGAUCCUGGCUCAGGACGAACGCUGGCGGUGCGCUUCAUACAUGCAAGUCGAACGAUGAGGCUCUUCGGAGUACAUCAGUGGCGGACGGGUGAGUAACACGUAGGUAACGUGCCCUUUACUGGGGGAUAACAGAGGGAAACUCCUGCUAAUACCGCAUAAGACGUCGGUUGAAAUACCGCCGUUUAAAGAUUUAUCGGUAAAGGAUCGGCCUGCGUCGGAUUAGCUUGUUGGUGAGGUAAUGGCUCACCAAGGCGACGAUCCGUAGUUGGUCUGAGAGGAUGACCAGCCACAGUGGGACUGAGACACGGCCCACACUCCUACGGGAGGCAGCAGUAGGGAAUAUUGCGCAAUGGGCGAAAGCCUGACGCAGCGACACCGCGUGGAGGAUGAAGGUUCUAGGAUUGUAAACUCCUUUCGGCAGGGAAGAAUACUGACGGUACCUGCAGAAGAAGCAUCGGCGUA
This 469-nucleotide ribosomal RNA is filed under the name uncultured bacterium. RNAcentral's name for it is "bacterial SSU rRNA". It matches the Rfam family "Bacterial small subunit ribosomal RNA", at positions 8 to 500 of the family's 1533-position model. The record is from RNAcentral.